This 540-nucleotide ribosomal RNA is filed under the name uncultured archaeon. RNAcentral's name for it is "bacterial SSU rRNA". It matches the Rfam family "Archaeal small subunit ribosomal RNA", at positions 457 to 997 of the family's 1478-position model. The record is from RNAcentral.
GUCAGCCGCCGCGGUAAUACCCGCAGCCCAAGUGGUGGUCGAUUUAUUGAGUCUAAAACGUUCGUAGCCGGUUCAUUAAAUCCUUGGGUAAAUCGGAUGGCUUAACUAUCCGAAUUCCGGGGAGACUGGUGAACUUGGGACCGGGAGAGGCAAGAGGUACUUUUGGGGUAGGGGUAAAAUCCUGUAAUCCUAAAAGGACCACCGGUGGCGAAGGCGUCUUGCUAGAACGGAUCCGACGGUGAGGGACGAAGCCCUGGGUCGCAAACGGGAUUAGAUACCCCGGUAGUCCAGGGUGUAAACGCUGCAGACUUGGUGUUGGGACCCUUUGGGGGUGUUCAGUGCCGGAGAGAAGUUGUUAAGUCUGCUACUUGGGGAGUACGUCCGCAAGGAUGAAACUUAAAGGAAUUGGCGGGGGAGACCACCGCAACGGGAGGAACGUGCGGUUUAAUUGGAUUCAACACCGGAAAACUCACCAGCAGCGACUAUUACAUGAAAGUCAGGCCGAUGACCUUACUAGAUUUUUAGAGGGGAGGUGCAUGG